This 116-nucleotide ribosomal RNA is filed under the name Spirochaetales bacterium. Lineage: Bacteria; Pseudomonadati; Spirochaetota; Spirochaetia; Spirochaetales. The record is from RNAcentral.
CCUGGUGAUCAUAGCGGAGGGGUCCCACCCGUUCCCAUACCGAACACGGAAGUUAAGCCCUCCUGCGCCGAUGGUACUGUCUGAUAAAAGGGUGGGAGAGUAGGUCGUUGCCAGGU